Solanum tuberosum (potato) is the source of this 2353-nucleotide long non-coding RNA. RefSeq lists it as uncharacterized. The record is from RefSeq and is a predicted model, not a curated record. The transcript is spliced from 5 exons. Lineage: Eukaryota; Viridiplantae; Streptophyta; Magnoliopsida; Solanales; Solanaceae.
AUACAUAAUACAUAUGUGAGAAAAACACGCGUGAGUUCUCUCUUUCUCGGAAUAACGUCUGAGCUGAAGAGUUGAAGUACUGAUCUGAAGAACUGAAUAGAUGAAGAACUGAAGUUGAAGAAUUGAUUUCGUCAAGCGUGAGUUCGAUUCUCUUCUCCGAUAACAAUUUCGUUAAGCAAGAGGAGAAUAAGAAGGAAUUGAUAACUUUGGGGUUGUUGGCUAAGAACACGAUUUCAGACAGAACUGAAGCUAGGAACACGAUUUCAGACCGAACGGAAGAGCUCAACAACUGAAGAGAUUCUCGCUGAAGGACACGAUUUUCAUCAUAGUUCUCGCUGAAAACAUGAUUUUGUUGGAAUAGGGUUUAUCAGAAAGACUGAGGAGCUUGAAUUGAAGAAGACGCAACAAGAAACCAAAGCUAUUGAAACUUCAAGAAAAGCUAUUCCAUCAAUGUGGCAGGAAAUGUGCAAGAAACAAUUAAUGAUAGCCAAUUCAGAUUUCAUGGAAAAUAUGGAGGUAUUCUAAUUAAUCAACCUAUAUGUAUGUUAUUGCCUUGCAUGUGGAAUUAGAUGCAACUCACACUUUCAUAAUUUCAUAUUAUGUUGUAACUCACAUUUGAGAUACACAACUCAAUCAUUUCUGAUGCCUCUAAUGUAAUCCAUAAAAAAUGCACUAUUUCCCCUCUAUAGUUCUUUGAGUUUUAUUUCUAGUUAGGGUGAAGGGGAAAGGGAGAGGUGGGGCUGAAUUAUGUUUGAUUAGUGAGGAAGUAGAGAGAUUCAUGGUACUGUAAGAUAUGCAUGUUACCGUAGGAGUCGUGAUAUUUUUAGUACUAGUAAUUUCUGUCGACUGUUAAAUGUUAAUUAAUUGGGUGAUGAAUACGGAAAAAGUUUCUGAACCUUGUGUCUAAACUGAAAGAAAAAGAUAACGCGAUCACAACAUUUAUGUUGUCGGCUCAACAAUUUUCUGAAGUUAAGAGAAAGGAAAUGGAACAAGGAAGUGAGAAACAGGGAGUGCAAGCAGUAGAUGUAGCAAUGGAGAGAUCAAAUGAUCAAGGCAAGGAGAUAACAACAAUUACACUAAUAAUUUGGUCCAAACACCACCCUCAGUCUCUUCUUCUACUGCCAUAGCUCCUCUUUCAUUGCUGCCUUACACUAAUAAUUUUCAUAACAACAACCUAGCAUUCCCUGUCAAGCCUGUCCCUGAAAGACGAAUAGUCACUGUUACUGUCUCCAUCAUAUCUGGUGAAACAUGGUAUGAAGCUGGGGAUAACAUGAUGAACUACUCAACUGGAAACAAGUCAACAACUCUUAUCAACAUAAAUGAUGUCCCUCAUAACGUUGGUGAAGGAUUUCCCCAUGCCCGAACAUCAAGACAAACUAUAACCACAACAAUUACCGUCACACCUCAUAUGAGUAAAGCACGACAAGUUUUAGGUGAUAACAGGGAUAACAAGGUUAGCAUCAGCAGGAAUGAGUACAGUCAUCAACAAGCAAGCAACUAUUGUUCUUCUUAAGAAAUUUUUGUUUAACAUGUAACACUAUGAUCCACUUUCAAGUUCCAUACACAAUUUAUACCAACUAAAACCCCUGAGGACAGUGGAACAUUUAACACGACUGAAAUUCCAUUAACUACAUCUGAUAAAACACGAGAAAGAUGCCAAUUCAGUCUAUCUGAGUGUUUUUCGACUUUUUAAAACUAUUUAAUAUGUAACUGAAAGCUGCAAUCUGGAAUAAAUCUAGAACUGGAACUGUAAUCUGCAAUCUGCAAUUUGACUGGUAAUUUAAACAAGGUUUUAGCAUUCGUUCUACCUAAGCACUAUAAACUGGUUAGUUUACUUAUUGGACGAGUAUCAUAUAAUUUUUUAAAACGACUAAUAGUAGUUGACUGAGAGGACAAUGGUGUUUUAAUUCUAUUUUGAUUGAUUGUAUGUUUACAAGAAGUUUAUAGAAUAUAAUGUGUCGAGCAACGCCUUUGCAAAGAGUCUUCUCUCGGCAUCACACAUACUCAUCUUUCCCCAUUCUUUCUUGCAGAACUGCCUGAUCGCACUAGUGCCUUGUUGCUACCAGUGACUAAGGAUAGCAAGUCCAAAGAAGAGAAUCACAAACUGCUAAAUGGAAAUUCAGGAGAUCCAACAGAAUGGGUAUAUAGAUUUAUGCAUUUUCUAUCCUAGGGAUUAUAGCUUUUCUCUCACUAUUGUAUAAGUUUGAAUACAUUAUAUUUAAUUUUGUGAAACAUAUUCAUUGCUAGAAUAUAUUGAACUAUUGUAAGAGUACUUUUUGAACUAUUGUGUAAACAUAUUUAGAAUAUUGCUUUAUAAGUAUGUGUAUGUAGACAAGACAUGCUAUCUUUUGAA